CCUACGGGGGGCUGCAGUGGGGAAUAUUGCACAAUGGGCGCAAGGCUGAUGCAGCCAUGCCGCGUGUGUGAAGAAGGCCUUCGGGUUGUAAAGCACUUUCAGCGGGGGGGAAGGCGGUGAGGUUAAUAACCUCAUCGAUUGACGUUACCCGCAGAAGAAGCACCGGCUAACUCCGUGCCAGCAGCCGCGGUAAUACGGAGGGUGCAAGCGUUAAUCGGAAUUACUGGGCGUAAAGCGCACGCAGGCGGUCUGUCAAGUCGGAUGUGAAAUCCCCGGGCUCAACCUGGGAACUGCAUUCGAAACUGGGAGGCUAGAGUCUUGUAGAGGGGGGUAGAAUUCCAGGUGUAGCGGUGAAAUGCGUAGAGAUCUGGAGGAAUACCGGUGGCGAAGGCGGCCCCCUGGACAAAGACUGACGCUCAGGUGCGAAAGCGUGGGGAGCAAACAGGAUUAGAUACCCGAGUAGUC
Molecule: ribosomal RNA, 465 nt
Filed under: uncultured Klebsiella sp.
Lineage: Bacteria; Pseudomonadati; Pseudomonadota; Gammaproteobacteria; Enterobacterales; Enterobacteriaceae
Description: bacterial SSU rRNA
Rfam family: Bacterial small subunit ribosomal RNA
Source: RNAcentral